UUGCACUGAUUUCAACAAUGAAGCGAGUGGCGAACUGGUGAGUAACACGUGGGAAAUCUGCCCAGAAGCAGGGGAUAACACUUGGAAACAGGUGCUAAUACCGUAUAACAACAAAAUCCGCAUGGAUUUUGUUUGAAAGGUGGCUUCGGCUAUCACUUCUGGAUGAUCCCGCGGCGUAUUAGUUAGGUUGGUGAGGUAAACGGCCCACCAAGACGAUGAUACGUACGCCCCGACCCUGAGGAAGGGUAAGUCGGCCACAGUUGGGACUGAGACACCGGACCCAAACCUCCG
RNAcentral lists this ribosomal RNA (291 nucleotides) under uncultured Lactobacillales bacterium. RNAcentral's name for it is "partial 16S ribosomal RNA". It matches the Rfam family "Bacterial small subunit ribosomal RNA", at positions 62 to 341 of the family's 1533-position model. Lineage: Bacteria; Bacillati; Bacillota; Bacilli; Lactobacillales. The record is from RNAcentral.